GAUUCCUAUUCACCAGUUUUUCCGAUAUAACCUUACAUCAGUUUAUUAUAAUAUAAUAUUCAAUAAUCCCUCAUUUUUUUAUGUUCCUGAUUUGCAAGUCGUGUUUGAAUUUAUUGGUCAACAUAUAUCGGUAGUCUUUGACAAGCAAAUACCAGAGGAAUUUUACGUUGUACUAAAGUUUGUUUAAGAAGCCAGGGGAUAUUAAUUUUAAUGUUUUAAAUUGAUUGUUAGAUAUCAUGUCUAUUGACAAAGAUUGUUAUGACUUCCUAGACUUAAUUCUCGAUAAUAAUAGUUAGUUUAUUUAUUUAAAGUGGAUUGAGAAACAAGUUAUUGCAAAUUAUAUUAUUCUCCUUCCGACGGACUAUCAUCGUUUCUCAAGAAGAUACUCGAAAAUGGUAUCGAUAGAGAGCCGAAAAUUCAUUUCUCCCCGGAACGUGGAUCGAACCAGGAACCUUUGUGUUAGUAGUCCGAAAAGCCUACCACUACAUUACGGCUCUCAACAUGGAGUUUAAAAUGUGAAAUCAAUGCAAAUAUCUAUUUGUGAAUCUAUAAAUAAUUCAAGCAGGAUAAGAUGCAGAGG
RNAcentral lists this long non-coding RNA (580 nucleotides) under Mytilus galloprovincialis (Mediterranean mussel). Lineage: Eukaryota; Metazoa; Mollusca; Bivalvia; Mytilida; Mytilidae. The record is from RNAcentral.